GAUCCUGGCUCAGGACGAACGCUGGCGGCGUGCCUAAUACAUGCAAGUCGAACGCUUCUUUCCUCCCGAGUGCUUGCACUCAAUUGGAAAGAGGAGUGGCGGACGGGUGAGUAACACGUGGGUAACCUACCCAUCAGAGGGGGAUAACACUUGGAAACAGGUGCUAAUACCGCAUAACAGUUUAUGCCGCAUGGCAUAAGAGUGAAAGGCGCUUUCGGGUGUCGCUGAUGGAUGGACCCGCGGUGCAUUAGCUAGUUGGUGAGGUAACGGCUCACCAAGGCCACGAUGCAUAGCCGACCUGAGAGGGUGAUCGGCCACACUGGGACUGAGACACGGCCCAGACUCCUACGGGAGGCAGCAGUAGGGAAUCUUCGGCAAUGGACGAAAGUCUGACCGAGCAACGCCGCGUGAGUGAAGAAGGUUUUCGGAUCGUAAAACUCUGUUGUUAGAGAAGAACAAGGACGUUAGUAACUGAACGUCCCCUGACGGUAUCUAACCAGAAAGCCACGGCUAACUACGUGCCAGCAGCCGCGGUAAUACGUAGGUGGCAAGCGUUGUCCGGAUUUAUUGGGCGUAAAGCGAGCGCAGGCGGUUUCUUAAGUCUGAUGUGAAAGCCCCCGGCUCAACCGGGGAGGGUCAUUGGAAACUGGGAGACUUGAGUGCAGAAGAGGAGAGUGGAAUUCCAUGUGUAGCGGUGAAAUGCGUAGAUAUAUGGAGGAACACCAGUGGCGAAGGCGGCUCUCUGGUCUGUAACUGACGCUGAGGCUCGAAAGCGUGGGGAGCAAACAGGAUUAGAUACCCUGGUAGUCCACGCCGUAAACGAUGAGUGCUAAGUGUUGGAGGGUUUCCGCCCUUCAGUGCUGCAGCAAACGCAUUAAGCACUCCGCCUGGGGAGUACGACCGCAAGGUUGAAACUCAAAGGAAUUGACGGGGGCCCGCACAAGCGGUGGAGCAUGUGGUUUAAUUCGA
Molecule: ribosomal RNA, 969 nt
Filed under: Enterococcus faecalis
Lineage: Bacteria; Bacillati; Bacillota; Bacilli; Lactobacillales; Enterococcaceae
Also listed under: 1 other name
Description: bacterial SSU rRNA
Rfam family: Bacterial small subunit ribosomal RNA
Source: RNAcentral